Molecule: transfer RNA, 73 nt
Filed under: Ailuropoda melanoleuca (giant panda)
Lineage: Eukaryota; Metazoa; Chordata; Mammalia; Carnivora; Ursidae
Rfam family: tRNA
About the family: Transfer RNA (tRNA) molecules are approximately 80 nucleotides in length. Their secondary structure includes four short double-helical elements and three loops (D, anti-codon, and T loops). Further hydrogen bonds mediate the characteristic L-shaped molecular structure. tRNAs have two regions of fundamental functional importance: the anti-codon, which is responsible for specific mRNA codon recognition, and the 3' end, to which the tRNAs corresponding amino acid is attached (by aminoacyl-tRNA synthetases). tRNAs cope with the degeneracy of the genetic code in two manners: having more than one tRNA (with a specific anti-codon) for a particular amino acid; and 'wobble' base-pairing, i.e. permitting non-standard base-pairing at the 3rd anti-codon position.
Source: Rfam by way of RNAcentral
GCUUGGCUGGCUCAGUCAGCAGAGCACGUGACUCUUGAUCUUGGGGUUAUGGGUUCGAGCCCCAUGUUGGGUG